This 597-nucleotide ribosomal RNA is filed under the name Temnotrema sculptum. Its description in RNAcentral is "partial 16S ribosomal RNA". It matches the Rfam family "Bacterial large subunit ribosomal RNA", at positions 1816 to 2626 of the family's 2925-position model. Lineage: Eukaryota; Metazoa; Echinodermata; Echinoidea; Temnopleuroida; Temnopleuridae. The record is from RNAcentral.
CGCCCCUCGCACUAUAGUCAUAUGAGGGGUCCUGCCUGCCCAGUGACUAACGUUAAACGGCCGCGGUAUCUUGACCGUGCAAAGGUAGCAUAAUCACUUGUCUCCUAAAUAGAGACUGGUAUGAAUGGCAAGACGGAGCUAAACUGUCUCUUUUUUUAUUAUUGAAAUUUACCUUCGCGUGAAGAGGCGCGAAUAUAAUCGUUAGACGAGAAGACCCUGUCGAGCUUAAAGUAAAAAAUAGAACUAUUUUAAACACUUAAGAAUACUAAUAGUAUAACUUUAUAAUAACUAAGUUCUAACGUCUCUAUUUUAACUUUGGUUGGGGCAACCGCGGAAAAAGAAAACCUUCCGCUAACAAAUUAUUUUAUUUAAGGAAAACAAUCCUACUAUCCAAAAUGAAGACAUGAUCCACUUAGGUGAUCAAAGGAACAAGUUACCGCAGGGAUAACAGCGUUAUCUUUUUUGAGAGUUCACAUUGACGAAAAGGUUUGCGACCUCGAUGUUGGAUCGGGACAUCCUAAGGGUGCAGAAGCUCUUAAGGGUUGGUCUGUUCGACCAUUAAAGUCCUACGUGAUCUGAGUUCAGACCGGCGAAAGC